GGCGGCAGUUGAGCAGCAGUUUUGUGCCGGUGUGGAUUUUAACAAAAUUUUUGUUUAGUUUGCUAAAUAAAUAUCGUUGAACUCGUUAAUUUAGAAUUAUUUUCAAAUUUCAAAGUUUAUUGUGCAUCAAUCACAUUGUGCAAUAAUGCCUCCCCACUCGCUGAACCUUGACAUGAAGACGGUAAAAAAGCAGGUCGUUCGGAAGUACACAAUUGCAGACUGCAAUUUGCAGUCGACGAGGUUUAGCAAAAACUGUGAAAUGGAUGUCCGAGCUCAAUUUUGCCUUAAACCAUGUAAAAGUUGAUAUUCAGAACUUAUCGGAUUAUUCUGCACUAUCGUUUGAGUAAAGAGAAUUAUACGAUACUUAUCUCCUUUGCAAGACCUAUUUCGAUAAUGGAGAAUAUUUGAGGUGUGCAUUUGUCGCUGAACCAUUUUCCAAGUUGUGUCCAAUUCUGCGAUUUUUGCGUUUUUAUUCUCUGUUUUUGGAUUGUGAAAAGAAACGGUUGGAAAGCAUGAGUGAACUUACAGCUGUUCUGUCGGAUCCAAAACAAUGGGACAAUCGAGAGAAUUGACAAACAAAAUACUAGCUUCGUAUGAUGAGAAUAUUGAUCCACAAGAUUACGACCCCUAUGAUUUAUACCUCCUGGGAAUGAUUAACCGACGACUUGAAGACACUGAUGUAUCAACAGAUUAUCUGAUGGCGUCUAUAUCUUCGAAUAACUAUAUUUGGGGGCAUGGGUGGAGUUGGCCUUUCUAAUUAUGGAUAGGAAGCGGUUAGGUUAUUGGAGCAAACACUACCCAAUUGUUGGAUGAAGUACUUCUUUGUCGGCCACAUCUCUUCAAAGCUUCACAUGAACGAGAAAGCACUUCGGACUUAUUUUGCACUUCAAAAGUCUGGGUUUCAUAACAGCGUGUAUAUUAAAACAUUGCUAUUGCGUAUCAUAAUGUACAACGUGUUGAUGAGAGGCGAUUGAUAUUCGAUUUAGAGGACAGAUUGGAUGAAAUGGAUCUUUAUUCGAAUAUGCUGUAUGUAAAACUAGAAAAAUACUUCCUGCUAGUUUAGCAAACAAGUCUGUUGAAAUCGAUAAAUAUAGGGUGGAAACAUGUUGCAUCAUAGUUCAACCAUUUAAACAGGUAACUUGCACAGUCUAAAGAGAGAACAUCCCAAAGCAAUAGAGUAUUUUGAAAGAGCUCUAAUUCACCCCUACUACUUAUCGGCUUGGACUCUUAUGUGUCGUGAGUUUAUGGAGUUAAAGAAUUCCAAUGCCGCGAUCCAAUGUUAUAGAGAAGCUGGUGAAGUGAACAAGCACGAUUAUCGACCUUGGAAUGGACUUGGACAGACCUACGACAUAUUAAACAUGUCUGGUUACAUAAGCAAGCGCAUCGUAUGCGACCGAAUGAUAGUAGAUUACUAAUUGCUCUUGGUGAAGCUUACGAGAAACUGGACAGGCCUCGAUGUGCUGGUAAAUGUUACGAGAGAGCAAGACAAUUGGGUGAUGAUGAAGGAUUGGCCAUUCUAAAUUUGGCAAAAAGAAUGCUGAAGGGCACUGAUCCAGAGAAUUCCCUGAGGUAAAAGAUGAAGCCGUAGUACUCCUGGUCCAAUUAGCCUUGAAACUACCGGGCCAUGAAACACGAGAAAUUAUUGGAUUUGGAUGGGGGUGGAAUUAUAAAUGUCGAAUGUCUAUGUGAAACGUGCCCAUUGGGGAGAUCGUGUGGAGUUCGACUCCACCAAAGUCCAUCACAAGCUGCUGACAUCUCAAACUGAGAACAUCUCUCAAAAUUCAAAUACAACUAACUCAUCAUCAACUACGCCGAGCGAGUGGGUGCGGGUGCCCCCGUCUACUUGGCCGCCGAAGUCCUCGAGUUGGCUGGAAACGCUGCUCGAGACAACAAAAAGACCAGGAUCAUCCCCCGUCACCUCCAACUCGCCAUCCGAAACGACGAGGAGUUGAACAAGCUGCUCUCCGGGGUCACCAUCGCCCAGGGAGGUGUCCUUCCCAACAUCCAAGCCGUCCUUCUCCCCAAGAAGUCGGAAAAGAAGUCCGCCUAAUUCCUCAGCUUUCACAAAUCUACACGCUCAAAACCCAACGGCCCUUUGAAGGGCCACCACAUUAUCCAAAGAGCUCAAAAAAUAAUCCAGUACUAACAUAAUUGCACUUUAUUCGUUCAUGCUCAACUUUGCUUCAUCAAUUAUUUUCAUGCGUUUAUUUGUUGACGAGAAAUUUCAACAAAGUAGUGCAGUUAGUUAAUGAUGUAAAAUAAAAUGAAACGGGUGGAUGGAUGAGGAAUUAUUUUUCCUUGUGCCUUCAAAGCAUUUAUUUAUGUACUUUUACAAUUGAAAUCAGUAAUUUCGCCCUCCUGCAAUUUAUGUAUGCAAUGAUUAAUACCCCGUAGUUUAGUUAUGAUUGAUUUCUAAUCAGACUUGUGGAUAAUAUUAAGGUAGCCCAAAAAAGACUCGAACAUGUUUUACAUAAGUUUUUAACAUUGUAUAAAUACAUGCAAAUUGGAUGUCA
Molecule: long non-coding RNA, 2513 nt
Organism: Folsomia candida
Lineage: Eukaryota; Metazoa; Arthropoda; Collembola; Entomobryomorpha; Isotomidae
Exons: 10
Source: RefSeq, a predicted model, not a curated record